Molecule: transfer RNA, 72 nt
Filed under: Candidatus Erginobacter occultus
Lineage: Bacteria; Pseudomonadati; Candidatus Auribacterota; Candidatus Erginobacteria; Candidatus Erginobacterales; Candidatus Erginobacteraceae
Description: tRNA-Thr
Rfam family: tRNA
About the family: Transfer RNA (tRNA) molecules are approximately 80 nucleotides in length.
Source: RNAcentral
GCCGGCGUAGCUCAACGGCAGAGCAGCUGAUUUGUAAUCAGCAGGUUGGAGGUUCAAAUCCUCUCGCCGGCU